GAGGGGUGGGGACUACGGCGUCUGCAGCGGUCCAAAUCCGGUCGUCCUCCCGCGCCGCGGAACCACGACGCUGCGAAGGACGAUGAGCUCUGACAGGAUGGAGAUUAAAAAGAAACUGUGUCAAAUCUGGACACACAGCAAGUAGCAUCCUAUGCCUCCCACGAGGCAUCAUUUCCAAGCAAAAAUAUUCAAUGAGUGAAUCUGACAAAGACAGUGUUUUUAAAAAGAACAAAAGAGCUGGGGCACAUCCGUUAGCCCGCUUUCUGGAGGAGGAAGCAGAGAAUUAAGGAUUCAAGGCCAGCUUUGACUGUAUUGUGAGUUGGAGAUUCACAUUAAAGGCUGGAACCAGGGAUUUUACAAUACACUGGCAGACUGCUAAACAAGAAACAGACCCUGUAGCCCCUGCUGACCUGAAACUUACAGAAAUUCACCUGCUUUUGUCUCCCAAAUACUGGGAUUAAAGGUUUGCACUCCCA
This is a non-coding RNA of Cricetulus griseus (Chinese hamster), 476 nucleotides long. Lineage: Eukaryota; Metazoa; Chordata; Mammalia; Rodentia; Cricetidae. The record is from RefSeq and is a predicted model, not a curated record.